Molecule: non-coding RNA, 45 nt
Organism: Schistosoma mattheei
Lineage: Eukaryota; Metazoa; Platyhelminthes; Trematoda; Strigeidida; Schistosomatidae
Source: Rfam
AUGCAUCUGACGAAUCCCAAAUAGGAUGAAACACGAGUCCUAGAU